GUCAACGGUCAUACCACGCUGAAAACACCAGUUCUCGUCCGAUCACUGCAGUUAAGCAGCAUUGGGCACGGUUUAAAAACACCCACCUUCACACCCCCGUGGGAC
Molecule: ribosomal RNA, 105 nt
Filed under: Harpegnathos saltator (Jerdon's jumping ant)
Lineage: Eukaryota; Metazoa; Arthropoda; Insecta; Hymenoptera; Formicidae
Source: RNAcentral